UGGAAAUGAUCUAAGUCACGUGCAACACC
RNAcentral lists this small RNA (29 nucleotides) under Bombyx mori (domestic silkworm). RNAcentral's name for it is "ovarian small RNA-34403". Lineage: Eukaryota; Metazoa; Arthropoda; Insecta; Lepidoptera; Bombycidae. The record is from RNAcentral.